RNAcentral lists this transfer RNA (73 nucleotides) under Cordylochernes scorpioides. Its description in RNAcentral is "tRNA-Thr". The record is from RNAcentral. Lineage: Eukaryota; Metazoa; Arthropoda; Arachnida; Pseudoscorpiones; Chernetidae.
GUCCAGGGGCGGGAAUCGAACCCACAACCUUCUGCUUACCGGGCAGGUACCAUGUCCACUAGGCUACCCUGGA